Molecule: RNA transcript, 372 nt
Organism: Arabidopsis thaliana (thale cress)
Lineage: Eukaryota; Viridiplantae; Streptophyta; Magnoliopsida; Brassicales; Brassicaceae
Exons: 1
Source: RefSeq
ACACCAAAACCCUAAAUAUACAAAGCUUUUUCGAAGUUGAUCAUCAAUGGCGUCAAUUGUUCUUCUACUCACACAAAUCCUUCACCCUACAAUCUCUGAAUUCCCUUCUUCUUCCUCCAUAAUUCUUACACCAUCUUCUUCUUCUCCAUCUUUCCAUUACACGCAUCAACAGAAAUCUCCAAGACCCGACAGUUUCAAGAUCUCACCUCUUCACGAAGAUCCGCAAGAUUCAAGAGUUAUGAUCGAUUUGUUCUAGACUUAAACUAUCUUUCUCCCGCUUUGUGUAAUUUUUGCUCUUUUGGCCACAAGUUGUAAAAUCACUUAUGAGGAUAUUAAUGGGAACCUUCACAUACUUAUGUCUUGUCAAAGUCU